RNAcentral lists this transfer RNA (68 nucleotides) under Caloenas nicobarica (Nicobar pigeon). RNAcentral's name for it is "tRNA-Phe". It matches the Rfam family "tRNA". Rfam says of the family: Transfer RNA (tRNA) molecules are approximately 80 nucleotides in length. Their secondary structure includes four short double-helical elements and three loops (D, anti-codon, and T loops). Lineage: Eukaryota; Metazoa; Chordata; Aves; Columbiformes; Columbidae. The record is from RNAcentral.
GUCUCUGUAGCUUACAAUAAAGCAUUGCACUGAAGAUGCUAAGACGGUCCUCCAUCCACCCAGAGACA